Molecule: ribosomal RNA, 611 nt
Filed under: Lactarius sp. YM2206
Lineage: Eukaryota; Fungi; Basidiomycota; Agaricomycetes; Russulales; Russulaceae
Description: eukaryotic LSU rRNA
Rfam family: 5.8S ribosomal RNA (bases 188-341)
Source: RNAcentral
UUUGACGCAAAGUCGUGCACGCCGGAGCGUGUCCUCUCACAUAAAAUCCAUCUCACCCUUUUGUGCACCACCGCGUGGGCACCCCUUCGGGAUCAAACUGAUCCAGGAGGGGGCUUGCGUUUUCACACAAACCCCUUUUUAAAAAGUGUAGAAUGACCUCAUUUUUGCGAUAACACGCAAUCAAUACAACUUUCAACAACGGAUCUCUUGGCUCUCGCAUCGAUGAAGAACGCAGCGAAAUGCGAUACGUAAUGUGAAUUGCAGAAUUCAGUGAAUCAUCGAAUCUUUGAACGCACCUUGCGCCCCUUGGUAUUCCGAGGGGCACACCCGUUUGAGUGUCGUGAAAAUCUCAACCUUCUCGGUUUCUUCUGGAUGCCGAAGGAGGCUUGGACUUUGGAGGCCUUUGCUGGCGUCUCUCGCCAGCUCCUCUCAAAUGAAUUAGCGGGGUCCUCUUUGCCGAUCCUCGACAUGUGAUAAGAUGUUUCCAUGUCUUGGUUUCUGGCUCUGUUGCCUUUGGGACCCGCUUCUAACCGUCUCAACGACGAUGUUUGUGAGCGCGUCUCCCUUCUCGGGAAACUCUCUCUCAAACCCCACGAACCCUUGACCUCAAA